AAUGGGCACAGUCUCACCACAGAAGAGUGAAAGAGGAUCCUGGCAGGGAGACGGUAGUGUCCUGCAGAAUGGUGAUGGGCCAAUCUUACAAGAGACCACAGAAAACUGAUAUAGUGAACUAUAGAAACAACAGUGCCUGCUGCAGUAUAACGAGGACACCCUGAGCAGAGAGCUCCAAUAGACCCAGGUCCAGUGUCUUGGCAGGGUGAAAUGGCACUGAUAUGGUGUCCUGCAGGAUGCUGUGUCCUGCAAUCCUGUGUGCUGUGCUACAGACGCGUGUGGAGGUCAACCCAAAAUGGGCACAGUCUCACCACAGAAGAGUGA
This is a long non-coding RNA of Engraulis encrasicolus (European anchovy), 324 nucleotides long. RefSeq lists it as uncharacterized. Lineage: Eukaryota; Metazoa; Chordata; Actinopteri; Clupeiformes; Engraulidae. The record is from RefSeq and is a predicted model, not a curated record. The transcript is spliced from 4 exons.